RNAcentral lists this ribosomal RNA (1818 nucleotides) under Triticum aestivum (bread wheat). RNAcentral's name for it is "partial small subunit ribosomal RNA". Lineage: Eukaryota; Viridiplantae; Streptophyta; Magnoliopsida; Poales; Poaceae. The record is from RNAcentral.
AUGCGUCUGGGCGGACAAAAACGGACGUGCCCCUCGCGUCCUCUCGUCCGCUCAUGUCCGCCAUUGGCCCACAGGUCAGUGACCCACACCAAGCCACUCGGGACCUCGUUGCUCUUGUUGCUGCCUCGCCGGCCGCCGCCCGUCCGUCACCGCCGCGUCCGCAACUACGUGCCCCGCGCCCGCCGCCGCGUCCGCCGCCGUGAGCAGCAGAAGCUGGAUGCUAGUGCUUGGGCAGCAGCAGCAGCAGCUGGGUGGACGCAACCAGGACGGGCGAGGGCGUGGCUCUGGGUGCUGGCGAGGCGGGUCGGGGCGGCAUGGCCAGGGCACGUGCGGCGGGCUGCUGCACGGGCGUGGCGCCACAGCGGCGAGGCGGGGUGGGGCGGCUGCGACGGAGGAGUUGAGGACGGGGCGGGACGACGGCGAGGCGGAUUAGCUCGGGGCGGGGACACGCACGGCGAGACGCGGACGCGCACGUCCUCCGCGCUCCCCUUGACGCGCCCCGCGCUGGAGGCCGGCGGGACGGCAGCCCUUGCAGGACCCGCAGCUGGAGGGCGUAGCUCGGGACGGCGGCGAGGCGGACGAGCUCGAGGCGGGGACGCGGGCGCACACGUCGUCGCGCUCCCCUGGACGCGCCCCGCGCUGGAGGCCGACGGGACGGCAGCCCUUGCAAGGGCCGAAGCUGGAGGGCGCGGCUCGGGAUGGCGACGAGGCGGAGGAGCUCGGGGCGGGGCGGCGGAGCACGGGACUGGAUGGGACGAUGGCGAGGCGGAGGAGAUUGGGGCGGGGCGCGUCUGUUUGGGGUCAAGGACGGCUCGUGCGCGGUGGGCGAGGAUUCUCCAAGCGGCUGUCCGCCCCCUGGACUUUUUGCUUUAUGAUAUCAGCGAUGGCAUACUUGAGAUUGAUUUGGGUGAGGAGAGCUUAGCUGUGAUCAGAGGGCCUCCCGUGACGAAUGAUUUCUGCCAUGGCAGCCCUCAUAUCAUCCAAGGUGAGGAUGGUGCUCUUGGCCUGGCCAUAUUGUAUUGCUCUCGCAUCCAAAUGUGGCAGAGGAGCUCCAAUUGUCAUGGUGUUGCUACAUGGGUCCUGUGGAAGACUGUUGAAAUGCAUAAUACUCUUGGGCUCCCUCCUCAGAUUGGGUCUAGGAGAAGGCGGAUGGAAAUUAUAGUGGGCUAUGCUGAGGCUGACAAUGUACUAUUUAUAUAUGUGGAUGCCAAUGUCUACAUGGUUUACCUCAAGUCAAUGCAAUCCAAGAGACUUUAUGAAGCCUGGCCUAUCUCUUCCUGCCAUCCUUGCACGAGUUUCUAUACACCAGGUGACAGGAGUAAUCCAAUCCAGUUGUAUGUAUUUGAUACAUGUGGACUACAGCAGUCAGCGGAGGAAUCUGGGCGGCACCGCGGCAGGAUCCCGAUGGUCGAAGCCAGGACUGGCCGGUGCAAAGGCCGUGGAGCAGGCGGCAGAAAGCGUGUAUUUAGCAACAAGGAGGUUGUGCUAUUUGCGCGUGGAGGGCCGGAGGCACAACCGCUCCUGGUGGAUCUGAUGAAGAAGGCUGAAAAUCCCCCACCCCAACAAAUUAACUUGUCAAAAGGGUUCAAGGAGGUCUUGAAUGCGGCUCCUCGACCCAUCGAAAGAGGCCGGGAGGACCCUAGCUGCCACCCUCCAGCGCCCUCUUCCCAUGGCCCCUCGUCACCGCCAUUUGGAGGCGUCGCCGGGCAAAGCGUGACUGGCGUCGGCGUUGGUGGGGAUCUCGUCCUCCUCACAUGGCAAGGCACGACACGGGACGUGGAAGCCAAUGAGGAUGCCAUGCUUGACAGGGCAUGGUAG